GACGAACCGUGCGAACGUUGUUCGGAAUCACUGGGCUUAAAGGGCGCGUAGGCGGGUGACCAAGUCCGGGGUGAAAUCUUUCGGCUCAACCGGAAAAGGGCUUCGGAUACUGGUCACCUCGAGGAAGGUAGGGGCAUGCGGAACUUCCGGUGGAGCGGUGAAAUGCGUUGAUAUCAGAAGGAACGCCGGCGGCGAAAGCGGCGCACUGGACCUUUUCUGACGCUGAUGCGCGAAAGCCAGGGGAGCAAACGGG
RNAcentral lists this ribosomal RNA (253 nucleotides) under uncultured bacterium. RNAcentral's name for it is "partial 16S ribosomal RNA". It matches the Rfam family "Bacterial small subunit ribosomal RNA", at positions 524 to 776 of the family's 1533-position model. The record is from RNAcentral.